ACAGAGAAGGGAAGAGGGGGGUAUCCUGGGGAACUGCUGGACAUUACUGAGGCUGAAGACAAUGAACUUUCAGUUGUGGGAUCUUUUCCAGCAGCAUUCAGUUUUCAGAAUAUGAACCUAAAAAAAAGCAAACAGCAUCACUGAUCCCAGAUUUAGAUUCUGACAGGCGAGUAGAAUGGAAGGGAUGGAGUUAAAGAUACUAGAAAUAGACUGCAUGAAAUGACUGAUGGACCAAGCUAUCUGUCUAAGCUAGACUGGCUCUAAACUGCAUCAGAAAGUAAACUAACAACAGAAGAGGGACAACAUACAGAAAGAAAGCAGAGUCAGGAGACUGAAAUGUCAAGAAGCAGGGACAGUGUGACUGACUAAAUGAAAGAAGUUGACACUGAACUCCUGAAAAGACUACCUAAGUCGUUGAAAUGAGAAAACUACAUUAAUGCACAGACAGCAUUUUACUUCACCAACCUAUACCUUUGUAAGUGUAUGUGGAAAAUAAAUAUACAAGCCAGAUGAGGCUUGUUAGAAUGGGAAAGCCGUAUGAAUAAAAGACACGAAGUAACGUGAUUGCAACUGAGGAUAUCUUGAGGAAUUUUUCACCAUUGGCUAGUUACUUCGAAUGUAUGGAUAAUCAAAGGGCGACAGACCUCUAAAGAUUCCAAGUGUCUACUUAAAAGCUGUUAAGUGAAGAGUGAUGAAAUGGAGGACACCCACAAUAAUUCUUGGACUCCUGGAGAUCCUAAGACAUGCUACAAAAAUAGGUCUUUAUUCUUAGGAAAAUAUAGUCAGAGCUAGCUUCCUUAUGCUAUACAUAAAAUCUUAACAUCAGAGGCAGUACAGAUAGUACAGAUAGUUUUUGAACUGAUCUCCAAACAAGCACAAACCCACUACGUUGAAAAGAACAGGUAAUUUGAGGUUUUUGGCAAAAGACAGUACUUCACACAUCUAAUCCAAAUCAAAGGGCCUGCAGACAGUUUUCAGUGAGAUGAAAGGAAUGAAAUAAAUAUAAAUUCUACGGAUAAAUAAAACACAAUUUAAAUAAGCUAACAGAACUAAUUUUUUUAAAUAAAAAUACUAGUCAGGUACAAGCUUUUGUUUCUCAAUGCCAGACUUCUAAAUAUUUACCAGACUACUGUUAAUAUUAAAAACCUAAUCUUUGACCCAGAGCGUUAGUAAUAAUACUGGUUUGCAUCUGCAAAAUUUUCAAACUGAAUGCUUCUGGUCCUGAAAAAUAUUUUAGGUGUAUUACUGAAGGCAGACUGUGGUGCUAAUAUAAUUUAAGUCUUAAAUACUUUUAAAAAGUGACAGACCCCAAAAGUCCAUCUACUAAUGUGCUAGUUAAAAAAUGCCUGUGAGCACUGCUUCAUAAUUAGCAUCUUAAGAAAAGUAGUGGCAUGCCCUAUUGAGUGGUAUGAUCACUGAGUAAUUAAUACACCUUAAAACAAUAUCCCCACAAGUCUGUUUCUUUUAUGUAUUUGUCACUUAAUUUCUUUAGUCAUUAAUUUUACACCCACCAGUGAAUUCCUAUGGCCAGAUGAAAAUUUUGUGGUAUACAUAAUUAGAGAGAAAAUGAUCAUGGUGGGUAUUCCUGUAAGUUUUACGAACUUGAGAAGUUUUAGCACCCUCCCCUAAAUGCAUGAAGCCCUUCUAUUUAAUUUCUCUCCUUAAAAUAGAGACUACGUAAAAUACUCUGUAAUAAUAAGGGAUCUUUUGCUAUGUUUCUGACAACUUUUGGCUUCGCAGUCAAAAAAGCUGUUCUGAAUGUGUCAAUUUUUGCCUAUCUGGCUUGAUGUUCAUUCUGUUCUUUAAAAACUUUUAUAUACAAUAACUCAGAUCACCCCAUCAAUCCAUUUCUAUGUUGUUCCUAUUUUAUCAUGAGGAAACUUUACAUUUUAAGUCAGAUUCACAGUAACUGGUAGAAAAGUUUCUUAAGCUAAAACUGCAAUCAUGAGUGUACAACAGUUGUGUGUGUGCACACUCAAUUUUCCCUUCAUUUUUAACAUCUGAUUCAGUGGCAAUGGCUGAAAACCUUCCACAAAAAGCAUGCUUGGGAGAAUAUAUCUAACAAAAUUUUCUCACAAAGCAACUUUCUGAAAACUGAUAACCUAAAUUUAUGAUCACUUUUGAUUGCCAAGUAGUCUGCAGAAACAAAAUCUUGCGUCUGUUUUGGUUAGAUAACUUGUUUUCUUUUUAACAUCAGAAUGCUUUAAGAAUACAUUUUUUACCCCAAGGAAGGGACUUGACUCGGAUUUAAGACCCUUUCCUUGACAAUAUACAAAAUUUCUUUUAACUUAUCACUGUCCAUUCUUUGAAGCUGUCAAAGCCAAGAACCCAUAAACAAAUCACAAAUAGCAAUAACCUACAUUAGUUAACAUUCCCCCUUUAACAUGUUGACAUUUUUACUAAAGGAUUAGUUAUUUUUGCAUUUCCAUUUCUCAUAUCCCAUGACAUUCCAUAUAAAUUGCAUUAUUGCUUUAUAGGCCACACAACAUUCAAAAGUAUGUUUAUAUGCAUUGCCUGUUUUUCCUUGAUCUGAUAAGACUUUGAUACUGAUUUUACUACAGAAAUUUAAGUUUGAAAAUACCACAGUUAGUAUUUCUUCUCAGAACGUUAAUUGUUCACAUCACUAAUCACUACAUGCAUAUUUAGCUCUGAUUAUAUUGCUCAAAAACUGCACCCAUUAUCAGAACAGUGCAAAUGAUAUUUAAUUUUAAAAGUAAUUAUAAUGGCUUGAAUUCAAAGUCAUUCAAAUGAACACUGUCAAGUAAUUUCACUUGAUGUGUAUAUAUUUCAUCACCACUGUUUACAUUACCCUUUUUUAAGUAUAACCAUCAAUUCUUCACAAUUUCUUUUUAUCAGUUUCCCUCCCAAGUCCCCAAACUAAGAAUGCCAAAUAAUCUUGAAAACCCAGAGCUCCAUAUUUUAAUGUUUUCUUAAGAACACAUUUGUGAACUCACAAAAGUGUUCCUCUUUCAACUUUGACAAUGCAGUUCUUACUUUAAGUAAACAAACCUGUCCUAAAAUCCCAACAAGUAAUUCUGAGAACUUAAACACCUUGACAGUGUCCCUUAAAAAUGCUAUGACAGUAAAGUGCCAAUAGGCAUGGCAAUGACCUCUUAGAUGGGAUCAUUUAACUCCUCGGAACUGGGAAAUGCCAGCACCAAGGAUUACACUGAGAUUCAAUUUUACUGAAGGCUACAUUUAGUUUACCCACUUUCCACAACCUAUUAUAUUCAUUAUGUUAGAAUGAAAUGUAAAUGUUUUGUGUAGCCCUCAAACUUACACUAAGUUUUGAGAGAGAUGUACUUUAAAAAAGCACGGGGUAAUAUAUAAAAUCAGUGGCAGAAAGUUUCAUUAAGCACCAGGAACUAAUUUUUGUCACCCCAUACUCAUUUUGUAGAUAAGUUUCAAUAACCGGCAAGGCACAUUUACAUAUAUUCCAAUGAAUACUUAUUGACAAAUUUUAAAUUACACUCUAUGUCCCAGCUAUCCCAGUAACUGACAUACAACAUACUAAAAUGAUUUAUUUAGAUAACAAAAAACCAAUUAAUGUGAAACAUACAGGCUAUUGGCAACCACUAUUCUAAAAUUAUGUAAGUACAAAUAAACAUACUGAAAUGU
Pan troglodytes (chimpanzee) is the source of this 3618-nucleotide long non-coding RNA. RefSeq lists it as uncharacterized. Lineage: Eukaryota; Metazoa; Chordata; Mammalia; Primates; Hominidae. The record is from RefSeq and is a predicted model, not a curated record. The transcript is spliced from 3 exons.